AUGUGAUUUGUCACUUAAAGAGGGAGGCAGCUCAAGAGCAUCUCAUCCUCCGGCUGCUGAGUCAUCCUGCUCUGGCAGUUAUUUAAACAGAAGCCUCCAGGAGACAUAUAAUCAACACUGCACUCAGACAAUGCCCAGACCUCCAGAAAUCAUGUGUCAAGCUCAGAUUGCCUUAGACAGGUGCAAUUCGAAAACAGCUUUCAUCUUUUUUUCUGUCAUGUUGUUACACUAUGGAUUCUGACUUCUGGCUCCUUUUCUCACAAGAAGCUCACCCAGCCAUCACUCUUACAAGACCUUGGCACCAGAGACCACCAAUUCCUCUUUGAGGUUCUCUAACAGCAACAGCAGUAUUUCUGACUUGACUUUCUUGUAUUUCUCUCACGUUAAAAUUGGUUGAGCAUCUACCAUGGGCUACAUGUGAGCUACAGGUGCUGUUGAUGAACCUGCUAAAGGACCUGAAUGUGACUGACGUCUUUGGAAGGAUGAGACUUAGUGUGCCCGUACAGUUGUGUCUAAAUGCUGUCCUUAUCUCCCAAAGGAAAGACAAGAGUCUCACACCGUCGCCCAGGUUGAAGUGCAAUGGUGCGAUCUUGGCUCACUGCAACCUCUGCCUCCUGGGUUCAAGCGAUUCUCCUGUCUCAGCCUCCCAAGUAGCUGGAACUACAGGCAUCCCCUGCACCCCCCGAACCCGGGAGGGAAAUACAACACAUGGGAUUAUUAUUGCUGAUGACACCAGAUAAUAUUUUGCCUAAACUCCUAAGCACUGGAUAAAUACAGAACAAGAUAACAAGAGUUCCCAGCAAAGGAGCCAGUUGAAUGAGAGAGAGAUCCAAGAUGGCUGAUCACUAACAGCUCAGGAUUGUAGCUCCCAGUGAAAGCUCAGAGAACGAGAGGACGCCACACUUUCAGAUGAAUUUUUGUUGCUCACGGACCAGCAGAUUUCUAGUAGAGGAGCCCCACGGGUCGCCAGCACGACUCUUCUGGCCGGUGCAGCGGUUUUGCCGGUGCCUUGGCGCUACAGCUCUUCUUGCAGAGUAAACUGAACUGGUUCCCUUACUGACCGGUGUUUGGAGCUCCAGGAAGGCAGAGCUGCUUGUUGCGGACUCAAGAAGGAAGCUAGACCAGAGAUUCCCAGGCAGAAGAGCACCAUCAGUCUUAUCGCUGCUAUUUUGGCCGGGGCAGUGGGUUGCUUGAAUCCCAGCACUGGGAAUCAAUAAAUUGGAUGUCGACUCAGAAACCUAAUUAGAAAGGCGGUAAUUAUAAAGACAACAGAUGGAUAAAUUUAUAAUAAAGGGAAAAAACCAGCCUAAGAAGGCCGAGCAUACCCAAAAUCAGAACCCCUCUCCCUCUACAGGGGAUUGCAGUUCCUCAUCAGCAACGGAACAAGCCCUGAUAGAAAAGGACUGUGUUCCAUUAUCUGAAGUAGGCUUCAGAAGGUGGAUGAUAAGAAACUUCUGGGAAUUAAAAGAACUUGUUCUAACCCAAUGUAAAGAAACGAAGAACUUUGAAAAAAGGUUUGACGAAAUGCUGAAAAGAAUAGACAAUAUAGAGAGGAAUAUAAAUGAACUAACGGAGUUGAAAAAUACAACAUGAGAACCUAGUGAAAUAUGCACAAGUUUAAAUAGCAGAAUGGAUCAAGCAGAAGAAAGGGUAUGAGAGGUUGACUCAUGCUCAAGGUUGCCUGCCUUUUGGCCUAAUUAAAGGUAUCAAAUAUUAAAGGCAUAAUAUUUUCCAUAUUCCAUAUUUCCACAAGACCAUAACAAGCAUUUUAAAGCAUGAAUAGUUGGUAUAAAAAUAUUCUAUACAAUGUUAGAACAUUUAGAAGUGUCCACCAAAGGGUAGCUCACGAAGUACAAAGAACUUAGAAAAACCAAUUUCUAAGUCUUUAUGUUCUAUAUCAGUUACCCUAAGUUUUUGAAAUGUCUAUAAUUUUUUUUAAUAGAUUCUUGUUCUGCUGCCCAGGAUGGAGUGCAGUGGCAUAACUUUGGAUCACUGCAGCCUCUGCCUCCUGGGCUCAAGCGAUUCUCCUGUCUCAGCCUCCUGAGUAGCUGGGAUUACAGGCACGUGCCACCAUGCCUGACUAAUUUUUUUGUAUUUUUAUAGAGAUGGGUUUCAUCAUGUUGGCCAAGCUGGUCUUGAACUCCUGACCUCAGGUGAUCCACCUGCCUCAGCUUUCCAAAGUGCUGGGAUUACAGGUGUAUGCCACUAUGCCCAGCCAUCGAAACAUCUGUAGUUGUGUAGAUUUCCUUACUACUUAUUCUGCGUGGCAAAAUCUGUUCAAAUAUGUGUGUUUCUUUGGCGGUGGGAGGGUUUAGAAAUGCACACAGAAAGAACAUUUGCAAACACAUCUAAACAAAGCUGGUUUGGAGACUGCAAUUUUUACUUCUAUGAUAUUGAGCAUGUAGAAUGAUAAUUAUAUUAUUUCCUCUAAAACAAAAAAAAUAACUAAAAAGUUUAGGCAGGAGGUGGCCAUAGAAUUUAUCUGUACUGAAGCAAUUGGUUUGUGUGCAUUCUUCUAUUCCAUUGUAAAUAUUUUGUACUUAUCUAGGGUAAGCCUCAGUAAUUAGGCCAUAAUCGUAAGUUGUCACUCUUGAAGACUACAGCUGUAUGUAUUUGCAAAGAUUAAUGACAACUAGAUUUUUUAAUAAUUUUGAGAGCAUUGCUUACCCUAAGAUGGCAAGCAAGACUCUUAUUGUUUACUUGAUAUGAUAUAAAUGUAUUUUAUUAAAUAUUUAAGACUACAUAGCUACAUAACUUGGUUAAAAAAAAAAGCUUUUAACAAAAUUUUGGAAAUUAAAGGUGAAUUUUUUCUUUCUAAAGCUGUGAUUUGUAGCCUUCAUAGUGCCCAGUCAUGUGCCAUAUACUAUUUAAUGUUUAAUAAUUUUUUAUGCUCAGUCACGACAUCUAUACACACAUAUAUAUUGCUAUUAAAAUCUGUAUUAUUGGCUUUUCCUUAUAACUAUUCAGAAGGUAAUAAGCAAUUCUAUUUUUAUUUUACAGACAAAGGUAUAAAUAUUUAACUGUGUAAUAGGCUAAAUCACAUGAGUAGCAGAAUGAGUACCAGAACAUGAUUCAUUAAUUUUGUGUUUACAGAUCAGUGAGCCCCAGAAUAUUUUUGUUUCUGGACUAUUCUUCAGUGAGGGUGGAUUAAACUACAUCUGUAUUUGCUGUUGGAGAGAUUCCAAAUGCACAUUUUAUAUGGUAUAGUUGGAAGUGGAAUAAACUGUUACUGGAAAAGAUCACCUUUCCCAAAUUAAAUCCAGGCUUUCAAAAGAAGCAUAGUCUAGAUUCAUAUAAUUCUAAAACAUCAGAAUCAAUCAAUCAGUAAACUAAUAAGCAAAGGUUUCUUAGUGACUUUUCCAGAUUUUAUAGCUGGUUAUGGUAUCAUGUUCAUGUUAGUAAACAGCUUUGGAAAGCCUACUAGCCAGCAGAAAUGUGAACUAUAGAUUAUACUCAGUAGAAUAACAUUAGUUAACAUUAGCCAAAUAGCACAUUUCAGUAAAUCAUUUAGAAUUGGAGAAAAUAAUCCCAUUUGGAAACAUCUGUUACCUAUUCAAACAACAAUGAUAUUGAACAUCUAUUAUUUUUUUCUUUUUCUUUUUCUUUUUGAGAUGGAGUCUGGCACUGUCUCCCGGGCUGGAGUGCAAUGGUACAAUCUCGGCUCACUGCAACCUCUGCCUCCAGGGCUAAUUCUCCUGCCUCAGCCUCCCAAGUAGCUGAGAUUACAGGCACCUGCCGCUAUGCCUGGCUAAUUUUUUGUAUUUUUAGUAGAAAUGGGGUUUCACUAUGUUGGCCAGAUUGGUCUUGAACUCCUGACCUUGUGAUUCACCCACCUCAGCCUCCCAAAGUGCUGGAAUUACAGGUGUGAGCCACUGUGCCCAGCCUGAACAUCUAUUUUAUGUCCACCAGUGGUAUAGGGUGAUGAGAUAUGAGAGAGAAAAUUAAGCAUUUCUUGCCUUCAAAGAAUUUAUAAUCUAGUUCUUCCUAUUUCAUUUCAGGUUGGUCAAUACAAGCUUUAGAUGCUUCUUGAUACCUUUAUUUAAAGAACCAAAUUUUGUCAGAAUCAUUCAACUCAUCAAGCAUGGUGGCUGAUGACUGUAAUCCCAGCACUUUGGAAUGCUGAGGUCGGAGGAUCACUUGAACCCAGGAGUUCAAGACCAGCCUGGGCAACAUAGCAAGACCCUGUCUCCACAACAAAAAAAAAAAAAUUAAAAACUAGCUGGGCUUGGUGGCAUGCACCUGUAGUCCCAGCAACAUGGGGAAGCUGAGGUGGGAGGAUCACUUGAGUUGGAGAGGUUAAGGCUGCAGUGGACCAUGAUCGCCCCACUGCACUUCAGCAUGAGCAACAAAGUAAGACCCAUCUCCCACACCCUCCCCCCAAAAAGGGGAAAAAUUGCUUAUCAAUUUUGGAUGAUACCAAGAAGCAAAUGAAUGAUAGUGAAAACAUAUAUUGAAAACAGUCCUUAUUUUCUUAAGUUGGUGAUGAUUCAAUCACCUGUUAGAAAGAUCUCAGUGUAGAGAAGGCCUUGACCAGCCAGCUGAUCUUUGUGAACUCCUUCACCCUCAGAAAGGAAAAAUAAUAUUAGUUCUGCCUUCUGGCACUGGCAAGAAACACAGGAAUGCCUGUACAAGUGCACACCAAGGACUUCAAUGUCGUUUAUCAACAGAUUUCCAAAGCAGCAAAGAGCAAGCAUUUAAACCACGCAAUUGAAUUUUAGGAAAAAUGCUCAAAAAUACAAUUUGACUAAUUAUUCAACCUUGUUAGGCAUUCUGCCAGAUCACCUUUCUUCCUUCCUACACAGUGCAAAAGACUUCUUUGCGGUAUUCAUUAGAAGGAAAAAUAAUAGUUGUUGUUGUGCCAAAUUUUUGGUAAAAGUUACUUUAAAACUAUUAUCAGUCUUCUAGAUUGUUUCUCAUUUAGUCUUGCCUCAUGAUAACUACGCUGAAAUAUCAAUUGCACAAUCAUUUAUUGUGCAAGGUUAAGGUACCUUAACCUUAAUUUGCUGUAUUAGACAUGGAAAGAAAUAAAUGAAGAUAAAUUAACCUAUUUUGAUGUCUAGAUACUUAUAAUCUAGCAGAAAUAACUAUAAAUUCUUUUUUUCUUUAAGACGCAGUUUCACUUUUGUCACCCAGGCUGGAGUGCAGUGAUGCCAUCUCGGCUCUCUGCAACCUCCGCCUCCUGGGUUCAAGCAAUUCUCCUGCCUCAGCCUCCUGAGUAGCUAGGACUACAGGCAACCACCACAACACCCAGCUGAUUUUUGUAUUUUUAGUCGAGACAGGAUUUUGCUAUGUUGGCCAGGCUGGUCUUGACCUCCUGACCUCAGGUGAUCCACCCACCUCGGCCUCCCAAAGUGCUGGGAUUACAGACAUGAGCCACUGCACCUGGCCUAACUCUAUAAAUUCUAUAAACAUUGAAUUUAUACUAAGAUGUACCUGGAAGUAGUCCUUUGAAUAAGUAAUUGGAAAAAUUAGUAAAAUAAAAUAAUUUUUAUCAUAAAAAUAGAAUGGAGACUUUAUUGAAAAUAUAAUUUUUUAGGCUUGCCUCUUAUUUAUAUGCCACAAAAAAAGCAAUUGACUAUAUUGUGUUAGUCUGCAUUGCUAGAAAGGAAUAUCUGAGUCUGGGUAAUUUAUAAAGGGAAGAGGUUUCUUUGGCUCACAGUUCUGCAGGGUAUACCAGAACCAUGGCACCAGCAUUUGCUCAGCUUCUGGUGAGGCUUCAGGAAGCUUAUUAUCACGGCAGAAGGUGAAGGGAGUGCUGGCAUACCACAUGGCAACAGAGGGAGCAACAGAGAGAGGAGGAAGUUCCAGGUUCUUUUUGACAACCAGAUCUUGCACAGAUUCAUAGAGCAAGAACUCAUUCAUACCCAAGAGAAAAGAACUAUGCCAGAGAUAUCCACCCCCAUGACCCACAUACCUCCCACCAAGCCCCAUCUCCAACACUGGGGAUUAUAUUUUGACAUGAAAUUUGGAGGGUGUAUUAGGGUUCUGUAGAGGGACAGAAUGAAUGGGGUAGAUGUAUAUAUAAAGGGGAGUUUAUUAAGGAGUAUUCACUCACAUGAUUACAAGAUGAGAUCCCACAAUAGGCUGUCUGCAAGCUGAGGAGCAAGGAAGCCACUCCGAAUCCCAAAGCUAAAGAACUUGGAGUCCAAUGAUCGAGGGUAGAAAGCAUCCAGCAUGAGAGAAAGAUGUAAGCUGGGAGGCUAAGCCAGUCUAGUCUUUUCACAUUCUUCUGCCUGCUCUUAUUCUGGCUGUGCUGGCAGCUGAUUAGAUGGUGCCCACCCAGAUGGAGGGUGGGUUUGCCUUUCCCAGUCCACUGACUCAAAUGUUAAUCUCCUUUGGCAACACCCUUACAGACACACCCAGGAACAAUACUUUAUAUCCUUCAAUCCAAUCAAAUUGACACUCAAUAUUAACCAUCAUGGAGGGGAAAAAAUCCAUACCAUAUUUUAUAGAUAGAUGAUAGCUAGCAAGCUAGCUAGAUAGAUAGAUAAACAAACAUUCUGGUGAAAAAUAAAGAAUAAAUUUGCCUAAAUUAGUGAAAAAAUCUCUCAUUGAAUUCAAAAUGUGAAGGAAAUUAUGUAUAGAACAAUUCAGUUUUAGGACCUACAAAAUGAGAGGGACAUUUUUUUCUGAGUCAAUUUAAGCAAUGCAUAAACUGCUGUAUAAGUUAAUAAUAGCUUAGUAAAAUUUUGAGAACCAAAUAGGAGUUUUCAUAAUUAGCCUAGAUCUGCUAAAUCUAAACCACCUUAACAGGUGGUUUAGAAUAUCUUUGGAUAUUUUGUAAAGUCCUACUACGUAUAGCUUCUGGAGUGUUUGCUGUA
Molecule: long non-coding RNA, 6821 nt
Organism: Callithrix jacchus (white-tufted-ear marmoset)
Lineage: Eukaryota; Metazoa; Chordata; Mammalia; Primates; Cebidae
Source: RefSeq, a predicted model, not a curated record